This is a long non-coding RNA of Ailuropoda melanoleuca (giant panda), 370 nucleotides long. RefSeq lists it as uncharacterized. The transcript has 3 exons. Lineage: Eukaryota; Metazoa; Chordata; Mammalia; Carnivora; Ursidae. The record is from RefSeq and is a predicted model, not a curated record.
CAUUUCACGUGUCUCAAUCAGUGCGCAUGCCUGUUGCUGUGCAGGUCAGUUGCAGCACAUGCGCGUUGCUGUCUGUGUGCCGUGUGCAGAGCUGAGGCGGAGGCCGUCGUGUUCCUUCUGUCUUGAUUCUUUCGGUUUGAGACGCUACUGGGUGAAAUAUGAGUGGGCGUGUAAAAUCAAGAUCCAAAUCUAAACAAAGAAGAGAUGAUGAAAAGUCUUCCCAGCAAAGUGAAACUGUGGUUGCCCAGCAGCCCAGUGAUGAGCAACUGAAACAAAAGGAGGCACCACCUGCGAGUCAGGGUAUGAUACCUGAUCAAGGGAAAGAAGAUAAAGGAGCACCUGUGGUUCAAGGUAAAGGGAAAGGGAAGAA